CCUUGGGAACUGUGAAAAAAAUACCAGGUGUUAAUGCCCUGCUCCGGCCUAAGCCUUGGGAACUGUAAAGAGAACUAUGAAGGGUAAAGAUCGGUUAGCAAAACAAAGCAGGCGGUUUGCAAGAUAAAGCAGGAUGUGCAUCUCAAAGACAGACCAAACAGUGGAUGAUAAGGGAGUAAAAGAGUGGAAAGUUACUGCUUAGCACUUAGUAGACUGCAAAAGAGAUG
Molecule: long non-coding RNA, 227 nt
Organism: Pezoporus flaviventris
Lineage: Eukaryota; Metazoa; Chordata; Aves; Psittaciformes; Psittacidae
Exons: 2
Source: RefSeq, a predicted model, not a curated record